GUUACUAAUUUCUAAAUCUUACCCACCCAUCCCCAAUUAGUUAAUAAUUUUAGCAAAAGUUUCUUAUUUUCCAUCGCAACAUCUCCAUAUUGAUAUUGAUAGAAUGUUGUUGUUGAGUCAUUACUCAUUUAGGGUUUACAAUUUUUAAUUAAUUUUUAAAAUUAGAGUUGACACAAUAUUAUAUUAGUUUUAGGUGUGCAACAUAGCAAUAAGACAUUUAUAUUGGACUUUAAUAACUUUAAUAAAUUAUUUAUUCUGGCCAGCCUGAGCAGUGGGUUUCUCCUGCCAGAGUUCUGCCCUGAUCUUACACCCCUGCCUUGGGUUAGCAUUGCUGAUUUCCUUCCCUGAAGCUGUCAGGGCAAGAAAUGGCCCCGGGAGAGAGCUGUCUUCCCAUCGUUUCUUCCUCUGUGACCCCUGGUCCUCUCCUGCUUCAUGGCACGUUCCCUGAUGCCAUUGCCCUGCCUUAGACCCAACACCCUCUAUCACUGUAAGAGUUUUUCACAUUCUGAUGUCGACUUCUGACCAUGGCUGAUAUCCAUCCGUCUGUCAUCCCCAUGAGGCCGCCAGUGUUCGCGUAGCAACUGAGUCAGAAGGGAGGGUCAAAUGACGAGUUGCCAUCUUACCUAAAGCUUAAGUUUUAAAUUUGUUUUCUGUUCUUCACAGGGUUACCAGUAGAGGCAAAAAAAAAAAGAUAAUAUGUAUGAAAGUUCUUUAAAACUGUGUUACAUUAAUGUUUCCUAUGUAUUAUUAUGGGGCAUUUUUUUCCUUUAGGGCUUUGAGUGGACAAAGAACUUGGAAAGAAGAAAAAAGUGGACUAAAGAAUAUGAUGCUUGAAGGGAUGGGGACAAAGUACAGAACGAAAAGCCAACGUGAGUUCAUGUUUCUCUCCUGUGUUGCAUCGACAACAAAUGUCAAAGGAAAAAUUAGCACAGAUAUUAAAGGUCUUUUCUAAUGCUUUCAGAAUCAUUAAAAGAUGAGUUGGCAAGAAGAAACACAACCUCAAAAGUCAAAGGGACAACAGCAACAGCAAACCUGAUUUAAAAAUGGGAAAAGAACUUGAAUAGAUAUUUCUCCAAAGAAGGUAUACAAAUAGUCACUAAGCACAUGCAAAGAUGGUGAGCACAUUAUCUUCUAGGGAAGUGCAAAUCAAAACUGCAAGGAUAUACCACUUCAUAUCUAUUAGGAUGACUAGCAGAACACAGAAAAACAAACAACCAAAAAAAGAGAGUAAACAUUGACAAAGAGGUGGAGAAAUUGAAAACCUGGAGCACUCUGGUGGGAAGGUGAAAUAGUGCAGCUUCUAUAGAAAACCAUGUGGCAAUUCCUCCAAAAAUUAAAAAUAGAAUUACGGUGUGAUCCAGCUGUCCCACUUGUGGUAUAUACCGGAAGAAUUGAAAGCAGGGACUCCAACAGACAUUUGUAUGCUGAUGUUCAUGGCAGUAUUAUUCACAAAAGUCAAAAAUGUGGAAGUAACUCAAGUGUCCAGUGAUGGUGAACAAAAGGUAGUGUACACAUACAGAGGAAUAUUAUAUAGCCUUAAAAAGGAAGGGAAUUCUGGCACGUGCUUAAAUACAGAUGAACCUUGAGGUUAUCAUGCUAAGUGAAAUAACCUAGUCAUAACAGAACAAAUCUGCACGAAUUGUUACAUUCAUAUGAGUUACCUAAGGCAGUCACAUUCAUACAGACAGAACAUAGAUAGUGGCUGCCAGGAGCUGGAGGGGGUGGGAAGUUAUUAUUUAAUGUAUGCAGAGUCUUUGUUUAGAAAGAUGAAAGAAGUUCUGGAGACAAUGGCUGUGAUGUUCGCACAAUAGUGAGAAUGUACUUAAUGCCACUGCACUGGACACUUAAGAGUGGUUAUAUUUGCCCAGACUACAUGACUCAGUUGUUUGGGGUUCUUGACUCUUGGGGUUCUCCAACAUCCCUGGGCUGCGUGGACAUAAGCAAAGGGGAGGGGAUUUCUGAGUUCAUUCAGCAUUGGCAUUUUACCAGGUAGAUGAGAAGAAAAGAUAAAGGGCCAGAGAACUUAAGAUAUUGAUGUGAGUUAUUAAAAUAAUGAAGCAUAGCUGAUAUCAGCAUGUUAGGCCACACAACCCCAAAGGUGCCUAAUCUCCAAAGCUAAAAUGAUAAAACAUGCUAUUCAAAAGCAAGAGAAAGUAAGGGGUCAAUGGGAGGGAAGUGCCAAAUGAACUCUCAAAAGUUAGAGAACGUGUAUGUCAAAAUAUUGUAAUUGAAAUUGAAAUCUAAAAUGAUGUAUUAAAAUACAUUGCAUGUAAAAGCUGAUAGAACAGGUGAAAUAAAAUUGGAAAAAUACUGAUAACAGUCAAAGCUGGAGGAUGGGUGCAUUGGGUUUUAUUAUAUUGCAAAAGCACUUAGAAAAAAAACAGACACAGUGUAAGCAGCAAACAGAAAUUUCAAAAAAAUCACAACAAAUAUUUAUAGCUAAGAUUUCAUUCAUAAAAUAAGAAUGGAAACCAGAAAGAAAAAAAAGCAACAAAGGCUGUGUUGGGAGGUCCAAUAUACUAAUUACAGCAGUUCAAAGAAGAAAGUGGAGAAAGUGAAGGGGGAGGUAGGCAACAAAGAAAUGAUUUUUAAAAUUUCCCAGAAUGGAAGCAUACGAAUUAAAGUGUCAAAAGAUCGUGAAACUCAGUGAAUGAAGACCCCUCACCAAUGCACAUCCUGGGGAGUUUUGAUACACUGGAAACAAAGAGAAGAGCCAUUUGGUCUGACCAUCUCUUCCUCAGUCCCUUACCUCCAUUGUGUCCUCUCUUCUCUCAGAUUAAACUCAAGUAUCAAUGAUUCUAAUUAAUUCCUUGCAAAGAACCUCCACUUCUUUCCCCCUCUUGUGCUUUCUCAGCUGUUCUGAGCAAAAUGAUAACCUUGGUUAAAUU
This is a long non-coding RNA of Artibeus jamaicensis (Jamaican fruit-eating bat), 2888 nucleotides long. RefSeq lists it as uncharacterized. The record is from RefSeq and is a predicted model, not a curated record. The transcript is spliced from 3 exons. NCBI's taxonomy places the organism in Eukaryota, Metazoa, Chordata, Mammalia, Chiroptera, Phyllostomidae.